CGUGGGUAACCUGCCCAAGAGAUCGGGAUAACACCUGGAAACAGAUGCUAAUACCGGAUAACAACAGAUGAUGCCUAUCAACUGUUUAAAAGAUGGUUCUGCUAUCACUCUUGGACGGACCUGCGGUGCAUUAGCUAGUUGGUAGGGUAACGGCCUACCAAGGCGAUGAUGCAUAGCCGAGUUGAGAGACUGAUCGGCCACAUUGGGACUGAGACACGGCCCAAACUCCUACGGGAGGCAGCAGAG
This 246-nucleotide ribosomal RNA is filed under the name uncultured Lactobacillus sp. Its description in RNAcentral is "partial 16S ribosomal RNA". It matches the Rfam family "Bacterial small subunit ribosomal RNA", at positions 116 to 354 of the family's 1533-position model. Lineage: Bacteria; Bacillati; Bacillota; Bacilli; Lactobacillales; Lactobacillaceae. The record is from RNAcentral.